CUUUUUUCAUUUUUGUUUUAGGUUACACCAUUUUCUUAAACUCACAAUGAAGUAAAGUUCUAGAUGGAUUUGAAUUUCAGUAGAAAGACCACUAAUUGGGUGAGAAGAAAUUUAGUAUAACAUUUUUUUUUAUUUAUUUGAUCGAAAGGGAUUUUUACAAAGACAUGACUAUAAUAUAAUUGUUAAUGGUAUUUCAUGCAAUGAUUUGGUUAAUCUUUUUCCACUUAUUUUGUCGUAGAUAGAAUCGUCCUCCGGUUCUAUCUACGACAAACAAUUUUCAGGCAUCAUGUUGUUCAAGCAAUGGAUCCGUUGAAAUCACUCAAGAAAGGAUCAAAUCGUUAGAUCUAGAGGUUAGAAAAAUUGAAUUUGAAGAAUUGUUACUACUACAAUUGUCAUGCUUUUUCUCUCAUUAUUAUUCAUGAUUUCAUUCUAAUUUUUAUUAAAUUUAUUGUAACGCAUUAAACUUUCUAUUUACAGGUGGAGAGAGCACAAGUUGAAACGUCGACGUGUAAUUACCGUGAAGAAAAAAUACGGAG
This 536-nucleotide long non-coding RNA is filed under the name Trifolium pratense (red clover). Its description in RNAcentral is "long non-coding RNA (TPRA_LNC008454)". The record is from RNAcentral. Lineage: Eukaryota; Viridiplantae; Streptophyta; Magnoliopsida; Fabales; Fabaceae.